RNAcentral lists this ribosomal RNA (463 nucleotides) under uncultured bacterium. Its description in RNAcentral is "partial 16S ribosomal RNA". It matches the Rfam family "Bacterial small subunit ribosomal RNA", at positions 28 to 502 of the family's 1533-position model. The record is from RNAcentral.
GACGAACGCUGGCGGCGUGCUUAACACAUGCAAGUCGAACGGAAAGGCCCUGCUUUUGUGGGGUGCUCGAGUGGCGAACGGGUGAGUAACACGUGAGUAACCUGCCCUUGACUUUGGGAUAACUUCAGGAAACUGGGGCUAAUACCGGAUAGGAGCUCCUGCUGCAUGGUGGGGGUUGGAAAGUUUCGGCGGUUGGGGAUGGACUCGCGGCUUAUCAGCUUGUUGGUGGGGUAGUGGCUUACCAAGGCUUUGACGGGUAGCCGGCCUGAGAGGGUGACCGGCCACAUUGGGACUGAGAUACGGCCCAGACUCCUACGGGAGGCAGCAGUGGGGAAUAUUGCACAAUGGGCGGAAGCCUGAUGCAGCAACGCCGCGUGCGGGAUGACGGCCUUCGGGUUGUAAACCGCUUUCGCCUGUGACGAAGCGUGAGUGACGGUAAGGGGUAAAGAAGCACCGGCUAACU